GAAAUUCCUUGUCGGGUAAGUUCCGACCUGCACGAAUGGCGUAAUGAUGGCCAGGCUGUCUCCACCCGAGACUCAGUGAAAUUGAACUCGCUGUGAAGAUGCAGUGUACCCGCGGCAAGACGGAAAGACCCCGUGAACCUUUACUAUAGCUUGACACUGAACAUUGAGCCUUGAUGUGUAGGAUAGGUGGGAGGCUUUGAAGUGUGGACGCCAGUCUGCAUGGAGCCGACCUUGAAAUACCACCCUUUAAUGUUUGAUGUUCUAACGUUGACCCGUAAUCCGGGUUGCGGACAGUGUCUGGUGGGUAGUUUGACUGGGGCGGUCUCCUCCUAAAGAGUAACGGAGGAGCACGAAGGUUGGCUAAUCCUGGUCGGACAUCAGGAGGUUAGUGCAAUGGCAUAAGCCAGCUUGACUGCGAGCGUGACGGCGCGAGCAGGUGCGAAAGCAGGUCAUAGUGAUCCGGUGGUUCUGAAUGGAAGGGCCAUCGCUCAACGGAUAAAAGGUACUCCGGGGAUAACAGGCUGAUACCGCCCAAGAGUUCAUAUCGACGGCGGUGUUUGGCACCUCGAUGUCGGCUCAUCACAUCCUGGGGCUGAAGUAGGUCCCAAGGGUAUGGCUGUUCGCCAUUUAAAGUGGUACGCGAGCUGGGUUUAGAACGUCGUGAGACAGUUCGGUCCCUAUCUGCCGUGGGCGCUGGAGAACUGAGGGGGGCUGCUCCUAGUACGAGAGGACCGGAGUGGACGCAUCACUGGUGUUCGGGUUGUCAUGCCAAUGGCACUGCCCGGUAGCUAAAUGCGGAAGAGAUAAGUGCUGAAAGCAUCUAAGCACGAAACUUGCCCCGAGAUGAGUUCUCCCUGACCCUUUAAGGGUCCUGAAGGAACGUUGAAGACGACGACGUUGAUAGGCCGGGUG
This 912-nucleotide ribosomal RNA is filed under the name Listeria monocytogenes. Its description in RNAcentral is "partial 23S ribosomal RNA". It matches the Rfam family "Bacterial large subunit ribosomal RNA", at positions 1961 to 2867 of the family's 2925-position model. Lineage: Bacteria; Bacillati; Bacillota; Bacilli; Caryophanales; Listeriaceae. The record is from RNAcentral.